GAUGAAGAACGUAGUGAAAUGCGAUAAGUAAUGUGAAUUGCAGAAUUCCGUGAAUCAUCGAAUCUUUGAACGCACAUUGCGCCCUCUGGUAUUCCGGGGGGCAUGCCUGUCCGAGCGUCAUUGCUGCCCUCAAGCACGGCUUGUGUGUUGGGCUUCCGUCCCUGGCAACGGGGACGGGCCCAAAAGGCAGUGGCGGCACCAUGUCUGGUCCUCGAGCGUAUGGGGCUUUGUCACCCGCUCCCGUAGGUCCAGCUGGCAGCUAGCCUCGCAACCAAUCUUUUUAACCAGGUUGACCUCGGAUCAGGUAGGGAUACCCGCUGAACUUAAGCAUAUCAAUAAGCGGAGGA
This 347-nucleotide unclassified non-coding RNA is filed under the name soil metagenome. Its description in RNAcentral is "partial contains 5.8S ribosomal RNA, internal transcribed spacer 2, and large subunit ribosomal RNA". The stretch from base 1 to 120 matches the Rfam family "5.8S ribosomal RNA", at positions 35 to 154 of the family's 154-position model. The record is from RNAcentral.